This is an RNA transcript of Hevea brasiliensis (rubber tree), 2022 nucleotides long. It is a transcript of the gene named 3-oxoacyl-[acyl-carrier-protein] synthase, mitochondrial, with no coding region annotated. The record is from RefSeq and is a predicted model, not a curated record. The transcript has 15 exons. Lineage: Eukaryota; Viridiplantae; Streptophyta; Magnoliopsida; Malpighiales; Euphorbiaceae.
UUACUUUACCUUCCAUUUAAGAUCUUACCUUAAAAAAUCAUGGCUCACAGUACUCCCUAGCAAAGUGUAAUUUUGCGUCUCUCUGGAGCAGCAAAGCCCUGGUGGUGAAAGUCUGAAGCAGAACACAGAAAUAUCCAUGGCAGUCUCUUCUUGUUGGCGCAGAUUAUCAUCCCCUUCUCGCUUUCGUUUCAUUCGUUACUUAUCUUCUUCUUCUACCUCUCCACACUUUGAUCCUCCUCCUCCAAUUACUCCCCGCAGAGUGGUCGUCACGGGUCUAGGCAUGGUGACUCCUCUGGGUUGCAGUGUGGAUGCGACAUGGCUGCGGUUGAUAGAGGGAAAAUGUGGGAUAAGAGCAAUAACACCUGAGGAUCUCAAAAUGAAUAAUUUCGAUAUGGAAACUCAGUUGCACACAUUCGACCAGCUGACCUCUAAAGUUGCCGCAAUUGUGCCCUGUGGAACCGGCCCCGGUGAAUUCAAUGAGGAAUUAUGGCUUAAUUCUAAGGAUCAUCGAUCGAUUUCAAGGUUUAUAGGCUAUGCACUAUGUGCUGCUGAUGAAGCUGUAAAAGAUGCAAAAUGGGUACCCACUGAACAGGAGCAGAAGGAAAGAACGGGUGUUUCUAUUGGUGGGGGAAUUGGAAGUAUCACUGAUAUACUGGAUGCUUCGCAAAUGAUUUGUGAGAAGAGACUUCGUCGGCUUAGUCCAUUUUUUAUCCCAAGGAUAUUGAUCAACAUGGCGUCUGGUCAUGUGAGUAUGAAGUAUGGAUUCCAGGGACCAAACCAUGCUGCUGUUACUGCUUGUGCUACUGGGGCACAUUCCAUUGGUGAUGCUACAAGGAUGAUUCAAUUUGGUGAUUCGGAUGUUAUGGUGGCUGGAGGCACAGAGUCCAGCAUAGAUGCUUUGUCAAUAGCAGGAUUUUGCAGGUCAAGGGCUCUGACUACAAAGUACAAUUCUAUGCCCCUAGAAGCUUCUCGGCCUUUUGAUUGUGAUCGAGAUGGAUUUGUGAUAGGUGAAGGUGCUGGUGUCCUUGUAUUAGAAGAACUUGAGCAUGCAAGAGAACGAGGAGCCAAAAUUUAUGCAGAGGUUCGGGGCUAUGGGAUGUCAGGUGAUGCAUAUCACAUUACUCAACCACAUACUGAUGGAAUAGGAGCUGUUUUGGCCAUGACACGUGCCUUAAAACAGUCUGGUCUUCAUCCCAAUCAAGUGGAUUAUAUAAAUGCCCAUGCUACAUCUACACCUUUGGGUGAUGCUGUGGAAGCCAGUGCGAUCAAAACCAUAUUCUCUGAACAUGCAACAUCAGGUGCCUUGACAUUGUCUUCCACAAAGGGUGCCAUUGGCCAUCUCCUUGGAGCAGCUGGUUCUGUUGAAGCAAUUUUCUCAGUUUUGGCCAUACACCAUGGCAUUGCACCAUUGACUCUUAACCUCACUAAACCAGAUCCCAUCUUCAAAGACAAGUUCAUGCCAUUAAAUGCUUCAAAAGAGAUGCCAGUGAGAGCAGCCUUGUCAAAUUCCUUUGGCUUUGGGGGAACAAAUGCAUCUCUGCUGUUCACCUCUGCUUCGUAGAAGACAUGAUUGGGCAUGUGCAAAUUCCCUUGAUCUGGACUACUGACAUUGUAGGAUAUCUUUCUUCAAACUAUUAAUUGAAUUGAAACAUCUACAGUUUCUAGCUAACCAGAACUGAAUGAAUAUCUACCAGUGGUCAGAUCUGAUAUCACGAGGCUUGUUUCUUGCCAACUUUGCCCCAGCAAUGUCACUGAACCUACACAAAGGCUUCUUCUGCCCUGUUUUACAUAGCAACAUGCAUAUACAAACGCAAGGUUGUUCUUUAUAUGAGCUACUGAUGGCCUAACACAUACCACUAUUGUUGAACAUCAUGCUUAUGUUUAUAGGAAUCAUUUUUUCUCUUUGCCUCCCUCAAGGAGUGUAAUCAGUGGUACUGACAAUUUCAUAACUGUGCAAAAGGAGGUUGUCUAAUAGAAUGCAAAUUGGAGUUUUACCAUCUAAAUCAACUAUAAUGAAUUUCA